AACGAACGCUGGCGGCAGGCCUAACACAUGCAAGUCGAACGCUGUAGCAAUGCAGAGUGGCAGACGGGUGAGUAACGCGUGGGAACCUUCCCAGUGGUACGGAAUAGCUCAGGGAAACUUGAGGUAAUACCGUAUAAGCCCCUUGGGGGAAAGAUUUAUCGCAAUUGGAUGGGCCCGCGUCGGAUUAGCUAGUUGGUGAGGUAAUGGAUCACCAAGGCGACGAUCCGUAGCUGGUCUGAGAGGAUGACCAGCCACACUGGGACUGAGACACGGCCCAGAAUCCUCCGGGAGGCGGCCGUGGGGAAUAUUGGACAAAGGGCGCAAGCCUGAUCCAGCAAGGCCGCGUGAGUGCCGAAGGCCUUGGGGUUGUAAAGCUCUUUUGGCGGGGACGAUAAUGACGGUACCCGCAGAAUAAGCUCCGGCUAACUUCGUGCCAGCAGCCGCCGUAA
Molecule: ribosomal RNA, 449 nt
Filed under: uncultured bacterium
Lineage: Bacteria
Description: partial 16S ribosomal RNA
Rfam family: Bacterial small subunit ribosomal RNA
Source: RNAcentral